UUAAGCGACUAAGCGUACACGGUGGAUGCCCUGGCAGUCAGAGGCGAUGAAGGACGUGCUAAUCUGCGAAAAGCGUCGGUAAGGUGAUAUGAACCGUUACAGCCGGCGAUGUCCGAAUGGGGAAACCCAGUGUGAUUCGUCACACUAUCGUUAACUGAAUACAUAGGUUAACGAGGCGAACCGGGGGAACUGAAACAUCUAAGUACCCCGAGGAAAAGAAAUCAACCGAGAUUCCCCCAGUAGCGGCGAGCGAACGGGGAGCAGCCCAGAGUCUGAAUCAGCUUGUGUGUUAGUGGAACGGUCUGGAAAGUCCGACGGUACAGGGUGAUAGUCCCGUACACCAAAAUGCACAGGCUGUGAACUCGAAGAGUAGGGCGGGACACGUGGUAUCCUGUCUGAAUAUGGGGGGACCAUCCUCCAAGGCUAAAUACUCCUGACUGACCGAUAGUGAACCAGUACCGUGAGGGAAAGGCGAAAAGAACCCCGGCGAGGGGAGUGAAAAAGAACCUGAAACCGUGUACGUACAAGCAGUGGGAGCACCUUCGGGUGUGACUGCGUACCUUUUGUAUAAUGGGUCAGCGACUUAUAUUCUGUAGCAAGGUUAACCGUAUAGGGGAGCCGCAGGGAAACCGAGUCUUAACUGGGCGUUAAGUUGCAGGGUAUAGACCCGAAACCCGGUGAUCUAGCCAUGGGCAGGUUGAAGGUUGGGUAACACUAACUGGAGGACCGAACCGACUAAUGUUGAAAAAUUAGCGGAUGACUUGUGGCUGGGGGUGAAAGGCCAAUCAAACCGGGAGAUAGCUGGUUCUCCCCGAAAGCUAUUUAGGUAGCGCCUCGUGAAUUCAUCUUCGGGGGUAGAGCACUGUUUCGGCUAGGGGGUCAUCCCGACUUACCAACCCGAUGCAAACUACGAAUACCGAAGAAUGUUAUCACGGGAGACACACGGCGGGUGCUAACGUCCGUCGUGAAGAGGGAAACAACCCAGACCGCCAGCUAAGGUCCCAAAGUCAUGGUUAAGUGGGAAACGAUGUGGGAAGGCACAGACAGCCAGGAUGUUGGCUUAGAAGCAGCCAUCAUUUAAAGAAAGCGUAAUAGCUCACUGGUCGAGUCGGCCUGCGCGGAAGAUGUAACGGGGCUAAACCAUGCACCGAAGCUGCGGCAGCGACACUAUGUGUUGUUGGGUAGGGGAGCGUUCUGUAAGCCUGCGAAGGUGACCUGUGAGGGUUGCUGGAGGUAUCAGAAGUGCGAAUGCUGACAUAAGUAACGAUAAAGCGGGUGAAAAGCCCGCUCGCCGGAAGACCAAGGGUUCCUGUCCAACGUUAAUCGGGGCAGGGUGAGUCGACCCCUAAGGCGAGGCCGAAAGGCGUAGUCGAUGGGAAACAGGUUAAUAUUCCUGUACUUGGUGUUACUGCGAAGGGGGGACGGAGAAGGCUAUGUUAGCCGGGCGACGGUUGUCCCGGUUUAAGCAUGUAGGCUGGUUAUCCAGGCAAAUCCGGAUAAUCAAGGCUGAGGUGUGAUGACGAGGCACUACGGUGCUGAAGUAACAAAUGCCCUGCUUCCAGGAAAAGCCUCUAAGCAUCAGGUAACAUUAAAUCGUACCCCAAACCGACACAGGUGGUCAGGUAGAGAAUACCAAGGCGCUUGAGAGAACUCGGGUGAAGGAACUAGGCAAAAUGGUGCCGUAACUUCGGGAGAAGGCACGCUGGUGUGUAGGUGAAGUCCCUGCGGAUGGAGCUGAGACCAGUCGAAGAUACCAGCUGGCUGCAACUGUUUAUUAAAAACACAGCACUGUGCAAACACGAAAGUGGACGUAUACGGUGUGACGCCUGCCCGGUGCCGGAAGGUUAAUUGAUGGGGUUAUCCGUAAGGAGAAGCUCUUGAUCGAAGCCCCGGUAAACGGCGGCCGUAACUAUAACGGUCCUAAGGUAGCGAAAUUCCUUGUCGGGUAAGUUCCGACCUGCACGAAUGGCGUAAUGAUGGCCAGGCUGUCUCCACCCGAGACUCAGUGAAAUUGAACUCGCUGUGAAGAUGCAGUGUACCCGCGGCAAGACGGAAAGACCCCGUGAACCUUUACUAUAGCUUGACACUGAACAUUGAGCCUUGAUGUGUAGGAUAGGUGGGAGGCUUUGAAGCGUGGACGCCAGUCUGCGUGGAGCCGACCUUGAAAUACCACCCUUUAAUGUUUGAUGUUCUAACGUUGGCCCCUUACCGGGGUUGCGGACAGUGUCUGGUGGGUAGUUUGACUGGGGCGGUCUCCUCCCAAAGCGUAACGGAGGAGCACGAAGGUUAGCUAAUCCUGGUCGGACAUCAGGAGGUUAGUGCAAUGGCAUAAGCUAGCUUGACUGCGAGCGUGACGGCGCGAGCAGGUGCGAAAGCAGGUCAUAGUGAUCCGGUGGUUCUGAAUGGAAGGGCCAUCGCUCAACGGAUAAAAGGUACUCCGGGGAUAACAGGCUGAUACCGCCCAAGAGUUCAUAUCGACGGCGGUGUUUGGCACCUCGAUGUCGGCUCAUCACAUCCUGGGGCUGAAGUAGGUCCCAAGGGUAUGGCUGUUCGCCAUUUAAAGUGGUACGCGAGCUGGGUUUAGAACGUCGUGAGACAGUUCGGUCCCUAUCUGCCGUGGGCGCUGGAGAAUUGAGGGGGGCUGCUCCUAGUACGAGAGGACCGGAGUGGACGCAUCACUGGUGUUCGGGUUGUCAUGCCAAUGGCACUGCCCGGUAGCUAAAUGCGGAAGAGAUAAGUGCUGAAAGCAUCUAAGCACGAAACUUGCCCCGAGAUGAGUUCUCCCUGAGACUUUAAGUCUCCUGAAGGAACGUUAAAGACGAUGACGUUGAUAGGCCGGGUGUGUAAGCGCAGCGAUGCGUUGAGCUAACCGGUACUAAUGAACCGUGAGGCUUAACCUU
Molecule: ribosomal RNA, 2900 nt
Filed under: Klebsiella pneumoniae
Lineage: Bacteria; Pseudomonadati; Pseudomonadota; Gammaproteobacteria; Enterobacterales; Enterobacteriaceae
Description: bacterial LSU rRNA
Rfam family: Bacterial large subunit ribosomal RNA
Source: RNAcentral